AGCAGCCGCGGUAAUUCCAGCUCCAAUAGCGUAUAUUAAAGUUGUUGCAGUUAAAAAGCUCGUAGUUGAACCUUAGGCCCGUGCGGGUGGUCCGUCCUCAGGGCGAGCACUGCCUCGUCGCGGGUCUCACCUUCUGGCGAGCGCGGAUGCCAUUCGUUUGGUGCCCGCGGGAACCAGGACCUUUACCUUGAAAAAAUUAGAGUGCUCAAAGCGGGCUCAGACGCUUGAAUACAUUAGCAUGGAAUAAUGAAAUAGGACGAUGGUUCUAUUUUGUUGGUUUCCGGGACCGUCGUAAUGAUUAAUAGGGAUAGUUGGG
Molecule: ribosomal RNA, 316 nt
Filed under: uncultured Paraglomus
Lineage: Eukaryota; Fungi; Glomeromycota; Glomeromycetes; Paraglomerales; Paraglomeraceae
Description: bacterial SSU rRNA
Rfam family: Eukaryotic small subunit ribosomal RNA
Source: RNAcentral